This 199-nucleotide ribosomal RNA is filed under the name uncultured bacterium. RNAcentral's name for it is "partial 16S ribosomal RNA". It matches the Rfam family "Bacterial small subunit ribosomal RNA", at positions 328 to 544 of the family's 1533-position model. The record is from RNAcentral.
ACGCUCGACACCUACGUGAGGCAGCAGUGGGGAAUAUUGCACAAUGGGGGAAACCCUGAUGCAGCGACGCCGCGUGGAGGAAGAAGGUCUUCGGAUUGUAAACUCCUGUUGUUGGGGAAAAAGAGGAUGGUACCCAACAAGGAAGUGACGGCUAACUACGUGCCACAGCCGCGGUAAUCUGAGCGGGCGUGGCGAAGGC